Acinonyx jubatus (cheetah) is the source of this 733-nucleotide long non-coding RNA. RefSeq lists it as uncharacterized. The record is from RefSeq and is a predicted model, not a curated record. NCBI's taxonomy places the organism in Eukaryota, Metazoa, Chordata, Mammalia, Carnivora, Felidae. The transcript is spliced from 2 exons.
CCCCAACCGACACUGUCAGCUUCCUGGUAAUAACCACCGACUUCCUGGCCUUGGAUAACCCCUCUGGUUCCAGGAACGAGGACCGGUUCAGCUCAACACAGCUACCCAGACCACAAAGAACCCACGGAGAGGCGUUACACAGAAUUUCGGUUCUGUUGGCAACUGUCAGACAGGACAGUGAGCAGACUUGCACAAGACCGUUUGCCUGGACUAAGACCAUGGGCUUAGUCACUGUUUAUCACUGAACUUGAUGUGUGACCAAAGAAAAAUAACCUGGAGUCACAGAACCAGCUGGUCACAUCCUGAGACACCCCCACCCCAAGCAGCCUCCUCCCCACCAAGCAGACCCCUCAUAGCUGGGGGGCAGCACAGUGUGUCUGCUGUCAGGGUUGGGGCUAAAGACCUGACUUGAGGAAUUUCUGGCAUUCAAGCUCUGUGUAAAGCACCAGGUAAGAGACCAGUCUUCCCCAGGUUUGUAACCCCAAGGCACAGCACAGUACUCAGCAAAGAACAGGCCCUCAAGAUAUUUAUUGGGACAAAUUUAGCAUCAUCACGUUCAUUCCAAAAAUAACACUUAAGAUUUUUAAGUUAGGGAUUUUGCAUGUGCAAUUUUUGAUUUUCAGUUUCCAUGAAUGAUAAUAAUGCUGAACUCAAGUCAUAUAUAUUUUUUUUUAUUGAGAGAGGGAGCAUGUGAGCAAGGGCAUAGAGAGAGAGAGGGAGAGAGAGAAAAAGA